UGAGACACGGGCCAGACUCCUACGGGAGGCAGCAGUGAGGAAUAUUGCACAAUGGGCGCAAGCCUGAUGCAGCAACGCCGCGUGAGGGACGAAGGCCUUCGGGUUGUAAACCUCUUUUCUGAGGGACGAGGAAGGACGGUACCUCAGGAAUAAGUCUCGGCUAACUACGUGCCAGCAGCCGCGGUAAAACGUAGGAGGCGAGCGUUAUCCGGAUUUACUGGGCGUAAAGCGCGCGCAGGUGGCUUCGUGAGUCGGACAUGAAAGCUCCUGGCUUAACUGGGAGAGGCUGUUCGAUACUGCGGGGCUUGAGGUUGGGAGAGGGACGCGGAAUUCCCGGUGUAGUGGUGGAAUGCGUAGAUAUCGGGAGGAACACCAGUGGCGCAAGCGGCGUCCUGGCCCACACCUGACGCUGAGGUGCGAAAGCGUGGGUAGCAAACAGGAUUAGAUACCCUGGCAGUCCACGCUGUAAACGAUGUCAACUGGGUGUCGGUAGUUUUACACUAUCGGUGCCGAAGCUAACGCG
RNAcentral lists this ribosomal RNA (523 nucleotides) under uncultured bacterium. RNAcentral's name for it is "bacterial SSU rRNA". It matches the Rfam family "Bacterial small subunit ribosomal RNA", at positions 320 to 859 of the family's 1533-position model. The record is from RNAcentral.